RNAcentral lists this unclassified non-coding RNA (208 nucleotides) under Hevea brasiliensis (rubber tree). The record is from RNAcentral. Lineage: Eukaryota; Viridiplantae; Streptophyta; Magnoliopsida; Malpighiales; Euphorbiaceae.
GACACAUUGAACGCUCCGCCGCUAUGGUUUUAGCACCGCUUUUGGACGCAAAUGUCAUCACCAUUGACGGAAUUGUUCCAAAGGUAGCUCGUCAAGGAAACAGAUACAAACUUCCCUGUCAAGUUCACAUCUUUGCAAGAUUUGAAGCAUUUGAAAUAGUAAAAUCAGCAAUUACAAAUGGUGGGUUGUAUUUGAUUGGUGAGAACAA